AUACUAUAUAAAAUUUGUUCUCAUUUUUUUUCAAUUUUUGAAAGCUUAUUUUUCUUUCCUUCUUCCUUCGUUUUAUAUUCGCCUCUUGCCCGCGCCAAAAAAAUCUAAACAGGAAAAAAAAAAGAAAACGCUAGAGUACAUAAAUCAAACUGACAGCAAAAAGAUGUUUUCUUAGAUUAGAUAAAGCAAAGAACAACGUUACUGGAUUCUCGUAAGACGAUUGCAAUCCUGUAGUUCGCAGCAUUUUGCGGAUCUUUAAAGAGUCAAUGUUGCUUAAGCGGAUUUGUUAGCAGCCUUUAUAAUAUCAAGUGAAAUGGGCAAAGUUAUCUGGACAUUGAAGGAGUUCAAACACAUGAGCUUCUGACUUUUUUUUAUACCCUACACCGCUCGUCGUAUAAGUUUGUGCAGAUGUAUGCAACAACCAGAAGGACUUGAGCUACAUCUACCGACCGAUUAAGAGUCACCUUCUCAAUCGAUCUAAGCUUGUCUGUCCGUUUGUCUCGUUACCUUGUUUUCAACCGACAUAUUUUGUCAGUCACAUAUUUUGGUACAGUCACAUAUUUUGACCCCAGGUUGAACUCUAUUGAAAAUGGUUCUGAUCGAACUAUCCGUUGCAGCACCUCCAAUAUAUGUCUUAAUUUUGAAAAGCCGUUAUAUGAAUAACUGUGUUAAGCGGAAUAAUGUAUGGUAUGGAAUGGUUGGACGCGUCCCACUACAGCGUUCUUACUUGUUUUCUUCUAAUGUCAGUUUAGCAGAUUUUAACGUUUGAAAAAUUUUAAGAAAUCUGCUUUCUUUUGUUGUUCCGUUUUUUAAUGCCAAUCUUAGCCCAGGACUAGAAUGUAAAGCGUAACCCAUAAUCCCGGUUUACUUAGCGAUUAGCUAAAGCAUAAUAGUUUAAGAAUUUUAGAAAAUUUGAUUUGUUUGGUUCUUCCGUUUUUUAAGAAAAAUUCAAGUCCUUAAUUAGACUGUAAAGUGUAGCUAUUCUUCCCAACUUUACGCUUUCUCUGCCUAACUUUAAGGCUAAUUUCACUAAUCAUUUAAUUGCAUCAGGAAAAUCUAUGAAAUCUUUUUCUUCCUCUUCUAUGAUAGAAGUCUAUCCAUAAUACUAAAAUUGUUGUCCUUAAGAUGUGUAAAUGGAUAUUUGAGCGUGCGAAACGACCAUUCGCUGAGAUUAGUAAAGAGAAAGAAGAGUAACAAGCAAGAAAAUUAUUGAUUGAAUAAUUGACCGUUAUUCUAAAAAAGGCUGAAAAAGAUCAAGGGAGUAAAUUUCCAUACUCCGUACUGUUGAGUGGACGUGGCUAAUUCAUUCAUUUUUGCAGCAUGAAAGUGAACAUUUAUAUCAUGUGACGGUGGUUACCCAGCAACUGACGGACAGACGGACUAACUAAUAGGUUUAAAGCGGUGCAGACUUUAUAUAUAUGGUCUUUCAAGCUUCUUUCUGGGUGCUCUAAGCGUUUUAAUAAAUGAAUGAAAUUUUAAUAUUUUCUAAUAUCGAUUCGAAAUGACCGAUUUUACCUAUUUUUGUUUAGGUGCUGCACCUGUAGGACAAAAUUACAAAUUUUUACCGAUAAAUCUCCUGUGGUUUACAAGUACCGCGCAAAAAACUAAAUAUUUUUAAUUUUUGAAAGCCAAGUUGAUCUCAGGUUUUAUUAUACUGCGGUCGUACCCUUCGAUCGAUUUGACUCAAUUUCAAUAUCAAUCUGCGUGAAAGAACUUCCAAUGCUUCAACCAAAAGUUGAGCCAGGUAACUUGCUUUUUACGGCCAAGAGCAUGUUUACGAGAAACAGACAGACAGACGAACAUGCUUAAAUUGUUUUAGAAUUUGAAGCUGAUCCAGAAUAUAGGCAAUUGGUGGGCUCUUUGAGGCUCCAUUUUGGGCGUCGCUAUAAAACUUUCAGGAAAUUUAAUAUCGAAAAAAUAUUCAUCCGUUAUAGCGAUUUUUGAUCGUGCGAAAAGACUGAUCUUUGGGAAUAGUGAAAAAAGAAAAAUAAGAAUUUUAAAAACUUUUAAUUUAUUUUCUUAUUUAUUUUUGAAAAAAUAUAUUUAAUAAUAAUUAUUUCAUUUUGGAUUAUUUUAUCAUCAUGUCUGGCUUAAUGAUGAACGGAAAGUCAAAAACAAAAAUUGUACAUUCACAUUUACAAAAAAUAUAUAUAUAUAUAUAUAAAGUAUUUGGUUAAUUAUAGUUCAUUCUUAUAUAUGGUUUCUUCAAAUUCCUCUCAGCAGGAAAGAACAAAAGGAAAAGCACAUAACUACAAAUGAAAAUCAAGAACUGCAAAGUCUUAUCAACCAAAAAGAGUAAAAAAAAAAGUAAAAAAAUGACAAAAACAAUAGCACAUCUGCGGCAGAAUAAUAAGAUAUCGUCAACCAAAAUACCGAACAAAACAAACAAUUCAAAGUUGUCUGGAAGAAACUCACACACCGAUGGCAUAUUAAAUUUUGAAACUCUUCAAUCAAAGAAGUUUUCUUAAACAAAGUCAUCAUUCAUUCAUAGAAACAUCAUAUCAUCGUCAGAGUGAAAUGUCCCGAAAGAAUUACAUAAAAAAAA
Molecule: long non-coding RNA, 2545 nt
Organism: Glossina fuscipes
Lineage: Eukaryota; Metazoa; Arthropoda; Insecta; Diptera; Glossinidae
Exons: 2
Source: RefSeq, a predicted model, not a curated record